This is a non-coding RNA of Lactuca sativa (garden lettuce), 1509 nucleotides long. Lineage: Eukaryota; Viridiplantae; Streptophyta; Magnoliopsida; Asterales; Asteraceae. The record is from RefSeq and is a predicted model, not a curated record.
AGGAUUAAAUGGCAAAAAAUGUACCUCAGUCACCCCUGCUCUUGCCUACAUCAACGAAACCAUGACUCUAUUAGGAUUACCAAGCAUUCCCACAAUACAAGCAUCAAUUGCAUCUUGAUUUUCAACUCUUGAAGCCCUUGCACCCAUUAAAACUACCGUAUCUUUAUCCAUAUCCUUUACGAAAACCUCAAUAAGAGUUUUAUCGACUGUGAGCUUGUUGAGUGUAAGUGUUCCAGUUUUGUCACUACACAAAAUAUCCAUUCCCGCCAUUUCUUCAAUGGCUGUCAUUCUUUUCGUGAUAGCUCCUUGUUGUGAUAGCUUGUGGGACCCGAUAGCCAUUGUCACUGACAACACUGUCGGCAUUGCGAUUGGGAUUCCACCAAUCAGUAGAACCAAUAGAUUGUCAAUUCCAUUCCUGUAGGUUCGUUUCUGAAUUGGGUACAUUAUCACUAUUUCUAUCACCAGUCCAACCGCAAUCGAGCAUAUACAAAAGUUUCCAAUCGCUGUCAACACCUAACCAAAAAAAAAAUCAUCACAAUUGUUGUAGAUAUAACACAUUUUUUUGGAGAUCAGUGUAUGUGAUUGUAACAAUUUCUCAUAUAGUGAAUUUUUCUUGAGGUGCAAUAAAUUUUUGUCUCGACUUCAGAAGAACCUUAAUCAUUAUUUUCAUUUUCUUUGUUUUUUUGCUCUUUUUAAACUAUAUUAUGUUUUUCAUCUACUGGUUUUGGAGUUUCCACAUAUAUUCUUGUGUCCAGUUUUCUCUAUUAUCUUUCACCGGGCUGGUUGUUGCCCGAUGAGUAUCUUUAAACUAUUAUACCUUUUGGAAAUGGCCAACUUGAUUUGUGCUAUCGACUAAGUGAGCAGCCUUGCCAAAGAACGUGUGUACCCCAGUAGCAAUCACAACCGCUUCAAUCUCACCCUGUUUACACGUGGAACCGGAAAACACACUGUCUCCAGGCUUCUUAGUAACCGGCAACGACUCACCAGUCAACGCCGCCUGGUCAAUUUUUAACGGGUCUCCUUCUAGAAGACGUGCAUCAGCCGGAACAAUAUCUCCGAGCUUGAUGCUAAUAAUGUCUCCAGGGACAAGAUCCGCAGCUUCCUCUUCUGACCAUUUUCCAUCGCGUAAAAGUUUCGUUUUUGGAGCAAGACCCGCCAUUAACGCCGCUGCUGCAUUGCCUGCGUUGUUUUCUUCUAUGAAACUUAUGGUCGAGUUUAUAAUUAGCAGUGUUGUGAUUCCAACAAAAUCUUGCCAGUCUGGUGGCUUCCCCUGCACGAUCGUUAUUUCACCAUCAACAUACAUACAGAUACAUAUACUGAUACCGAUACAUAUACAUAUACAUAUAAUACAUACCCCUCCAUUAGCCAAGACAAUUGCCAUGACAGCUGCAGCCUCCAUGACCCAUGAGAGAGGAUUCCACAUAAAUCCAAGGAACUUGAGGAGUUUGUUUUCCUGAAUUAAUGUUGUAAAUUAAAUAUUAUUCUUAAGAUAAUCUCCAAUUUUUAUCA